AGGAUUAACGCUGGCGGCGUGCCUAACACAUGCAAGUCGAACGAGGUAGCAAUACCUAGUGGCAGACGGGUGAGUAGCGCGUGGUCAACCUACCGUUGAGUGGGGGAUAACUAGCCGAAAGGUUAGCUAAUACCGCAUACGUCUCCGAGGGGCAUCCCUUGGUGAUAAAAGGAGCAAUCCGCUCGAUGACGGGACCGCGUCCCAUUAGCUAGUUGGUGGGGUAACGGCCUACCAAGGCAUCGAUGGGUAGCUGGUUUGAGAGAGCGACCAGCCACACUGGGACUGAGAUACGGCCCAGACUCCUACGGGAGGCAGCAGUGAGGAAUUUUCCGCAAUGGGCGAAAGCCUGACGGAGCGACGCCGCGUGUGGGAAGAAGGCCUUCGGGUCGUAACCACUGUCGAAGGGGAAGAUAAUGACGGUACCCUUGGAGGAAGCCCGGCUAACUACGCGCCAGCAGCCGC
RNAcentral lists this ribosomal RNA (462 nucleotides) under uncultured bacterium. RNAcentral describes it as "SSU rRNA". It matches the Rfam family "Bacterial small subunit ribosomal RNA", at positions 26 to 518 of the family's 1533-position model. The record is from RNAcentral.